Molecule: ribosomal RNA, 496 nt
Filed under: uncultured bacterium
Lineage: Bacteria
Description: partial 16S ribosomal RNA
Rfam family: Bacterial small subunit ribosomal RNA
Source: RNAcentral
AUGCACGCUGGCGGCGUGCCUAAUACAUGCCAGUCGCGCGAACAGACGAGGAGCUUGCUCCUCUGACGUUAGCGGCGGACGGGUGAGUAACACGUGGAUAACCUACCUAUAAGACUGGGAUAACUUCGGGAAACCGGAGCUAAUACCGGAUAAUAUAUUGAACCGCAUGGUUCAAUAGUGAAAGACGGUUUUGCUGUCACUUAUAGAUGGAUCCGCGCCGCAUUAGCUAGUUGGUAAGGUAACGGCUUACCAAGGCGACGAUGCGUAGCCGACCUGAGAGGGUGAUCGGCCACACUGGAACUGAGACACGGUCCAGACUCCUACGGGAGGCAGCAGUAGGGAAUCUUCCGCAAUGGGCGAAAGCCUGACGGAGCAACGCCGCGUGAGUGAUGAAGGUCUUCGGAUCGUAAAACUCUGUUAUUAGGGAAGAACAAAUGUGUAAGUAACUAUGCACGUCUUGACGGUACCUAAUCAGAAAGCCACGGCUAACUACGUG